GCAAAUCAACCUGACCUACCAUUUGAUGAAAACUAUGCACAGGAUGUAGACAGCGGCUGGGAUAAACAAAAAACAGGAAAGGAGGAGACUUUCACAUGUAUCCUCCUCAAGGAAGAAAAAAAUCAGUUGGUGGCCUAGGAUGUUUUUUUUGUUACUGAGACAUAUUAAAAUCUAUAUUCCAAAGACUCUAACCUUUAUAAAGAACAAGCAAAACUAUACAUUCCUUUUCUGCAUUUAUAUAAUUCCCUCUCUAUUACGUUCCUGCAGUCCUCUAAUGUUUUAAUCUUUCUGUCACACUUGCAUGAAACUACAGGCCUGGGUUGGAGCCUGCUUCCUUUGCCCUUAAGAAGUUAAGAAAAAGAAGCCAAGACUCUUCCACUUGAUUUUUACUUUUAUAUUUUUAUUUAAUAAUGAUAGCUUUUGAACAAGAUCUGAGUUUUGUCUUAUAAUAUAAUAAUAUUACUCAUGAUAUUAAUGGUAGCAAUGUUACUCAUGUAGUGAGUUGCAUCAAUUGUAAGGGAGGAUUUUUUGUACUUAAUGUCAUAAAUACAUUUAAUAUGUCACCAUAAUUGAUUCUAUCUUUAAUUUUGCAAUAAAGCUUACUAACAGAUGAAAGCCUGGGUUGAAGACUGCGAUAUGAUAACCCUUCCAUCUAGAUUUCCAGUUCAGAUUCUGCUUGAGAGAAAGCCAAUGUCUGACAACUGGACGGUCACCUCUGUGAAUUAAUCUGGUGGGCUCAAUCCGAUUCUACUCACAUCUCCAAAACUAGUACUACAGCCAGCAAGUCUCUACACAGAGUCUAAGAGUUAAGCAAUCACAAUGACUGAACCAUCAACUUGACCUUUAAGAUCCCUUUAGAAAAGGUUUGAUCCACAUUGAUUUACUUUAUCUCUCAGAUGAUCAGCUCUGUACUAAAACCCUGACUGACGAGAAGUCAUUUUUUGAUGCAUUAUGUUAGCAGUGUUCCACAGCCUAACAUGAAAACAGCGGGUGAAAGUCACACCUCACUGAAGUCAAUAGGAGGAUUGCUUUCAGUGGAACUUGGACUUCACCCGGCCAAUCCAGUCUGCAGUGUUUGGAUCCUACCUAUGUCCAAAGGGAAAAGCGGAUGCAUAUUCUUCUACCACUUUAAGAUGAGAAAUGCCAAAGGAAACAACAAUUUCCCACUCCCUACACUUUCAGCAACAUUUACUGAAUGAGUCCAGAAAGACCUUUUAGAACAAGACAAGAAGAAUAUAUGAUGAGUUUCUUUAAACGAGGAUUUAUUUUGCAUAUGAUUAGAUGUAGUGUAAACCUUUUUAAAAAAAGUUACAUCUGCAUUAAUUUAGUCAAGGCCAUCAAUAAACCUGAAGUGAGUUCAAAGACUGCUAUAGAU
Molecule: long non-coding RNA, 1375 nt
Filed under: Struthio camelus australis
Lineage: Eukaryota; Metazoa; Chordata; Aves; Struthioniformes; Struthionidae
Description: lncRNA (ENSSCUG00000010004.1)
Source: RNAcentral